CCCAGGCUCUGGCACCCAUGUCCAGUCCCCGGCCACGGUUAAAUUCCUCAUUCAAAGAGACGAGCGUGUAAUUGUGGAAGCAAAGCGUGUGUCUGAUUCAGAGGAAAAUUCCUGAAGAGAACAGAGUGAAAAUACUCAACAGUAAUACCACUGAAAAGAUAUCAGCAGAGGAAAAGGGACUCACUACAUAUUACCUGGAGGACCGAGAGGGAAACUCAACUGCUCAGACUCUGCAGCUGACUAACCUCCCUUGACUACUGAUGCCAAUCAUUUUUCUUUCUUACCAUUACAUGAAAACCCAUUUUCCAAUGAAAUGACUAUCCAGAGUCCACUUCAAAAAAAAGUUUCAACUCUUAGAAGUCUGCUGUUAUGACUGAAUGUUCACAGCAAGAUUCAGCCCUGUAGUUUUUCACUCUGUCAGGCUGAAACUUCAAAGCCACUGCUGCUCACCUUGAUUUGUGAAACUUGAUUUUUAGUGGUCUUAAGGAGAAUUUUGCAACUUCAGCUGUAAAAUGUCAACCAAAAUGAAGUUAUUUUCCUACUAGCCUGCAACUGACAGCAAACUGCUUCUUCGUAUUGUUUCAAUCUUUAACGAGAAGAUUUUAAA
This is a long non-coding RNA of Phasianus colchicus (ring-necked pheasant), 607 nucleotides long. RefSeq lists it as uncharacterized. NCBI's taxonomy places the organism in Eukaryota, Metazoa, Chordata, Aves, Galliformes, Phasianidae. The record is from RefSeq and is a predicted model, not a curated record.